RNAcentral lists this ribosomal RNA (1436 nucleotides) under Kocuria sp. RNAcentral describes it as "bacterial SSU rRNA". It matches the Rfam family "Bacterial small subunit ribosomal RNA". Lineage: Bacteria; Bacillati; Actinomycetota; Actinomycetes; Micrococcales; Micrococcaceae. The record is from RNAcentral.
GCCGGUGGGGGGGGGGCUUACCAUGCAAGUCGAACGAUGAUGCCCAGCUUGCUGGGCGGAUUAGUGGCGAACGGGUGAGUAAUACGUGAGUAACCUGCCCUUGACUCUGGGAUAAGCCUGGGAAACUGGGUCUAAUACUGGAUACUACCUCUUGCCGCAUGGUGGGUGGUGGAAAGGGUUUUACUGGUUUUGGAUGGGCUCACGGCCUAUCAGCUUGUUGGUGGGGUAAUGGCUCACCAAGGCGACGACGGGUAGCCGGCCUGAGAGGGUGACCGGCCACACUGGGACUGAGACACGGCCCAGACUCCUACGGGAGGCAGCAGUGGGGAAUAUUGCACAAUGGGCGGAAGCCUGAUGCAGCGACGCCGCGUGAGGGAUGACGGCCUUCGGGUUGUAAACCUCUUUCAGUAGGGAAGAAGCGAGAGUGACGGUACCUGCAGAAGAAGCGCCGGCUAACUACGUGCCAGCAGCCGCGGUAAUACGUAGGGCGCAAGCGUUGUCCGGAAUUAUUGGGCGUAAAGAGCUCGUAGGCGGUUUGUCGCGUCUGCUGUGAAAGCCCGGGGCUCAACCCCGGGUCUGCAGUGGGUACGGGCAGACUAGAGUGCAGUAGGGGAGACUGGAAUUCCUGGUGUAGCGGUGAAAUGCGCAGAUAUCAGGAGGAACACCGAUGGCGAAGGCAGGUCUCUGGGCUGUUACUGACGCUGAGGAGCGAAAGCAUGGGGAGCGAACAGGAUUAGAUACCCUGGUAGUCCAUGCCGUAAACGUUGGGCACUAGGUGUGGGGGACAUUCCACGUUUUCCGCGCCGUAGCUAACGCAUUAAGUGCCCCGCCUGGGGAGUACGGCCGCAAGGCUAAAACUCAAAGGAAUUGACGGGGGCCCGCACAAGCGGCGGAGCAUGCGGAUUAAUUCGAUGCAACGCGAAGAACCUUACCAAGGCUUGACAUUCACCGGACCACCCCAGAGAUGGGGUUUCCCUUCGGGGCUGGUGGACAGGUGGUGCAUGGUUGUCGUCAGCUCGUGUCGUGAGAUGUUGGGUUAAGUCCCGCAACGAGCGCAACCCUCGUUCUAUGUUGCCAGCACGUGAUGGUGGGGACUCAUAGGAGACUGCCGGGGUCAACUCGGAGGAAGGUGGGGAUGACGUCAAAUCAUCAUGCCCCUUAUGUCUUGGGCUUCACGCAUGCUACAAUGGCCGGUACAAAGGGUUGCGAUACUGUGAGGUGGAGCUAAUCCCAAAAAGCCGGUCUCAGUUCGGAUUGAGGUCUGCAACUCGACCUCAUGAAGUCGGAGUCGCUAGUAAUCGCAGAUCAGCAACGCUGCGGUGAAUACGUUCCCGGGCCUUGUACACACCGCCCGUCAAGUCACGAAAGUUGGUAACACCCGAAGCCGGUGGCCUAACCCCUUGUGGGAGGGAGCCGUCGAAGGGGGAAUUUGGGGU